UUUUUUAUGAAAAAUGAUAUAUUAUUAUAUUUUUAUAUUAAUAUAUAUCUUUUAUUCAUAAAAAUCGAUAUAAAUCUUGCAAUAUAUUAAAUCAUAUAGAAAAGAAACUUUUUAAUAUUUAUAAAGAUUUUUUAUAUGAAAAAUACUUUAAAUACCAAUUUUUAGAAUUUUAUAGAAUAAACAUUAAAUAUACCUUUAUAUAAUAGAAAAUUUAGAAUUCACCAUUUUUUCUAAAAAAUUAAAAAAU
Molecule: transfer RNA, 247 nt
Filed under: Pneumocystis jirovecii
Lineage: Eukaryota; Fungi; Ascomycota; Pneumocystomycetes; Pneumocystales; Pneumocystaceae
Description: tRNA-Pseudo(TTT)
Source: RNAcentral